ACCAAAGGAGCUGUAACUUAUUUUUAUUUUGGAAACUUCCAUAGUCUACCCUUUUGCUGCCAUUUGAUCUUAUUUCCCACAGCUCAUCAGCAUGAAGCCUCUGACUAGAUGGUUAUCUUUUAAAAAUCACCAUUUCUUCCUCCAACGCAAGAGAGUAACCCUGGAAUUAGAGCCUGGGUUAGGAUAAACCGGAAACUGUGGAUCAGUAACCCCAAAAGACACUGUGGGAGUGAGGAAGCAGCUGAUGCAGGUUGGACUCCAGGGACAGCAGCACAAAGGGUCACAGCCUCUCCACCAGCACUAACUGAGAAGGACCAAGGAUCCAGUGGGGAUAGUCUGUUGACCCAGACUCCACUCUUUUUGCCUGUCACCCCUGGAGAGCCAGCCUCCAUCUCCUGCAGGUUUAGUCAGAGCCUCCUGCAUACCUAUUUGAAUUGGUACUUACAGAAGGUGAGCCUUGGGGAUGCUCCACUACAGAAGCUCUGCAAAAACCCCCAGGGCUCUGCACUCU
This is a non-coding RNA of Callithrix jacchus (white-tufted-ear marmoset), 511 nucleotides long. The record is from RefSeq and is a predicted model, not a curated record. NCBI's taxonomy places the organism in Eukaryota, Metazoa, Chordata, Mammalia, Primates, Cebidae.